GUGGUUAAGGCGUUGGACUCGAA
Molecule: non-coding RNA, 23 nt
Filed under: Cricetulus griseus (Chinese hamster)
Lineage: Eukaryota; Metazoa; Chordata; Mammalia; Rodentia; Cricetidae
Source: RNAcentral